CUACGGGGGGCUGCAGGCGCGAAACCUUUACAAUGCACGCAAGUGUGAUAAGGGGAUCCUAAGUGCUCAUGCAUAGCAUGGGCUUUUGCCAAGAGUAAAUAUCUUGGAGAAUAAGUGGUGGGUAAGACUGGUGCCAGCCGCCGCGGUAACACCAGCGCCACGAGUGGCAUCCACGUUUAUUGGGCCUAAAGCGUCCGUAGCCGGUUUGGUAAAUUUCUUGUGAAAUCGUCGGGCUCAACCCGACGGCGCGCUUGAAACACUGCCAGACUUGAGACCGGGAGGAGUUAGAGGUAUUCCAGGGGGAGCGGUAAAAUGUGAUAAUCCCUGGAGGAUCACCUAUGGCGAAGGCAUCUAACCAGAACGGAUCUGACGGUCAGGGACGAAGGCUAGGGGAGCGAUCCGGAUUAGAUACCCCCGUAGUC
This 422-nucleotide ribosomal RNA is filed under the name uncultured archaeon. RNAcentral describes it as "partial 16S ribosomal RNA". It matches the Rfam family "Archaeal small subunit ribosomal RNA", at positions 323 to 746 of the family's 1478-position model. The record is from RNAcentral.